GAUGAACGCUAGCGGCAGGCCUAAUACAUGCAAGUCGAGGGGCGGCAUUAUGUAGCAAUACAGAGAUGGCGACCGGCGCGCGGGUGCGUAACACGUAUGCAACCUACCUUCAACAGGAAGAUAGCCUCCCGAAAGGGAGAUUAAUACUCCAUAGGAUAUUAUGAUGGCAUCAUUAUGAUAUUAAAGAUUUAUCGGUUGAAGAUGGGCAUGCGGGACAUUAGCUAGUUGGUGAGGUAACGGCUCACCAAGGCUACGAUGUCUAGGGGUUUUGAGAGGAUGAUCCCCCACACUGGUACUGAGACACGGACCAGACUCCUACGGGAGGCAGCAGUAAGGAAUAUUGGUCAAUGGAGGGAACUCUGAACCAGCCAUGCCGCGUGCAGGAAGACGGCCCUAUGGGUUGUAAACUGCUUUUAUAUGGGAAUAAAAAUUUACUCUUGAGUAGACUUGAAUGUACCAUAUGAAUAAGGAUCGGCUAACUCCGUGCCAGCAGCCGCGGUAAUACGGAGGAUCCAAGCGUUAUCCGGAUUCAUUGGGUUUAAAGGGUGCGUAGGCGGAUUAUUAAGUCAGUGGUGAAAUCCUACAGCUUAACUGUAGAACUGCCAUUGAUACUGGUAAUCUUGAGUACAAUCGGAGUGGGCGGAAUAUGUCAUGUAGCGGUGAAAUGCAUAGAUAUGACAUAGAACCCCGAUAGCGAAGGCAGCUCACUAGAAUGUAACUGACGCUGAUGCACGAAAGCGUGGGGAUCAAACAGGAUUAGAUACCCUGGUAGUCCACGCCGUAAACGAUGAUUACUCGAUGUCUGCGAUAUACAGUAGGCGUCUAAGCGAAAGUGAUAAGUAAUCCACCUGGGGAGUACGAUCGCAAGGUUGAAACUCAAAGGAAUUGACGGGGGCCCGCACAAGCGGAGGAGCAUGUGGUUUAAUUCGAUGAUACGCGAGGAACCUUACCUGGGCUUGAAAGUUAGUGCUUAAAUGGGAAACUAUUUAUUCCUUCGGGACACGAAACUAGGUGCUGCAUGGCUGUCGUCAGCUCGUGCCGUGAGGUGUUGGGUUAAGUCCCGCAACGAGCGCAACCCCUAUUAUUAGUUGCCAGCGAUUCGGUCGGGGACUCUAAUAAAACUGCCGGUGCAAACCGCGAGGAAGGUGGGGAUGACGUCAAGUCAUCACGGCCCUUACGUCCAGGGCUACACACGUGCUACAAUGGUAGGGACAAAGGGCAGCUACCUGGUAACAGGAUGCGAAUCUCUAAACCCUAUCUCAGUUCGGAUUGAGGUCUGUAACUCGACCUUAUGAAGCUGGAUUCGCUAGUAAUCGCAUAUCAGCCAUGAUGCGGUGAAUACGUUCCCGGGCCUU
This 1355-nucleotide ribosomal RNA is filed under the name uncultured Sphingobacteriia bacterium. RNAcentral's name for it is "bacterial SSU rRNA". It matches the Rfam family "Bacterial small subunit ribosomal RNA", at positions 28 to 1382 of the family's 1533-position model. The record is from RNAcentral. Lineage: Bacteria; Pseudomonadati; Bacteroidota; Sphingobacteriia.